UGGCGUUUACUCUAUGUGUAUAUAAGAAUUAUCAGGUGCCAUCAUUCUCGAUCUCAAAGUAACGAGUAGGAGAGUGCUCACAAAAAUUGACAUCUAUUGUGAGAAUGGAGUCGCCACAAAAGUUGCGCCCGCUCAUCAUCAUGGCGAUGCUACUGCUGCUCGUGAUGGCUGCGGAAGGCCAUAAACAUUGUCCGGAGGACUUGUGUGAAGGACCAAGUGGCAAGUUCAAAGGUGCAUGUUCGCAGGACGACGAAUGCCAAGAAACAUGUGGGGAAGAGGGUUUUCAUACUGGCUUUUGUAAAGUUGGGCCUUUUAAUGGUGCAUGUAAAUGUUGUAAGCCAUGCGUUUUUUAAAUUAUUUCCCAAUGCUUCAUGAAAUAAUUGCUUCACGUAAAGAAUUUACCUAUUGAAUUUAAUAAAUUGGAGUCUUCUUUCUUCA
This is a long non-coding RNA of Triticum dicoccoides, 438 nucleotides long. RefSeq lists it as uncharacterized. The record is from RefSeq and is a predicted model, not a curated record. Lineage: Eukaryota; Viridiplantae; Streptophyta; Magnoliopsida; Poales; Poaceae. The transcript has 2 exons.